RNAcentral lists this unclassified non-coding RNA (264 nucleotides) under uncultured Alphaproteobacteria bacterium. RNAcentral's name for it is "contains 16S-23S intergenic spacer region". Lineage: Bacteria; Pseudomonadati; Pseudomonadota; Alphaproteobacteria. The record is from RNAcentral.
UCCCCGAUUUCCGGGGCAGUCCCCCGAGAGUCCUCAGCGCCUUGCGGCCUGUUAGCAACACGGGACAUGUCAAGGGCUGGUAAGGUUCUUCGCGUUGCGUCGAAUUAAACCACAUGCUCCACCGCUUGUGCGGGCCCCCGUCAAUUCCUUUGAGUUUUAACCUUGCGGCCGUACUCCCCAGGCGGUGUGCUUACCGCGUUAGCUGCGACACCGAAGAGCUAGGCUCCCCAACGUCUAGCACACAUCGUUUACAGCGUGGACUAC